UGCAUCGGCCGGGAAUCGAACCCGGGACGUGGCAGGCGAGCAUUCUACCACUGAACCAAAAGC
RNAcentral lists this transfer RNA (63 nucleotides) under Cordylochernes scorpioides. RNAcentral's name for it is "tRNA-OTHER". Lineage: Eukaryota; Metazoa; Arthropoda; Arachnida; Pseudoscorpiones; Chernetidae. The record is from RNAcentral.